This 465-nucleotide ribosomal RNA is filed under the name uncultured bacterium. Its description in RNAcentral is "bacterial SSU rRNA". It matches the Rfam family "Bacterial small subunit ribosomal RNA", at positions 330 to 792 of the family's 1533-position model. The record is from RNAcentral.
UCCAGACUCCUACGGGAGGCAGCAGUGAGGAAUAUUGGUCAAUGGGCUUACGCCUGAACCAGCCAAGUCGCGUGAGGGAAGACUGCCCUAUGGGUUGUAAACCUCUUUUGUCAGGGAGCAACGCCGGCUACGUGUAGCCGGACUGAGAGUACCUGAUGAAAAAGCAUCGGCUAACUCCGUGCCAGCAGCCGCGGUAAUACGGAGGAUGCGAGCGUUAUCCGGAUUUAUUGGGUUUAAAGGGUGCGUAGGCGGAAUGCCAAGUCAGCGGUAAAAUCGCGGGGCUCAACCUCGCUCCGCCGUUGAAACUGGGGGCCUUGAGUGGGCGAGAAGAAGGCGGAAUGCGUGGUGUAGCGGUGAAAUGCAUAGAUAUCGCGCAGAACCCCGAUUGCGAAGGCAGCGUACCGGCUCCACACUGACGCUGAGGCACGAAAGCGUGGGUAUCGAACAGGAUUAGAUACCCUAGUA